UACGGAGGGUGCAAACGUUGCUCGGAAUCAUUGGGCGUAAAGCGCACGUAGGCGGCGCGUUAAGUCGGGUGUGAAAGCCCUGGGCUCAACCCAGGAAGUGCAUUCGAAACUGGCGCGCUUGAAUAUGGAAGAGGGUCGCGGAAUUCCCGGUGUAGAGGUGAAAUUCGUAGAUAUCGGGAGGAACACCAGUGGCGAAGGCGGCGACCUGGGCCAAUAUUGACGCUGAUGAGCGAAAGCG
Molecule: ribosomal RNA, 238 nt
Filed under: uncultured bacterium
Lineage: Bacteria
Description: partial 16S ribosomal RNA
Rfam family: Bacterial small subunit ribosomal RNA
Source: RNAcentral